UGCGUAGGUGGUCUGGUUAGUCGGAUGUGAAAUCCCGGGGCUCAACCCCGGAACUGCAUCCGAAACUGCCAGACUAGAGUCCAGGAGGGGAGAGCGGAAUUCAGAGUGUAGCGGUGAAAUGCGUUGAUAUUCUGAAGAACACCGGCGGCGAAGGCGGCUCUCUGGAAUGGAACUGACACUGAGGCACGAAAGCGUGGGUAGCAAACAGGAUUAGAUACCCUGGUAGUCC
Molecule: ribosomal RNA, 229 nt
Filed under: uncultured bacterium
Lineage: Bacteria
Description: partial 16S ribosomal RNA
Rfam family: Bacterial small subunit ribosomal RNA
Source: RNAcentral